Molecule: ribosomal RNA, 440 nt
Filed under: uncultured bacterium
Lineage: Bacteria
Description: partial 16S ribosomal RNA
Rfam family: Bacterial small subunit ribosomal RNA
Source: RNAcentral
CCUACGGGUGGCAGCAGUGGGGAAUAUUGCACAAUGGGGGAAACCCUGAUGCAGCGACGCCGCGUGAGUGAAGAAGUAAUUCGUUAUGUAAAGCUCUAUCAGCCGGGAAGAAAAUGACGGUACCUGAGUAAGAAGCCCCGGGUAACUACGUGCCAGCAGCCGCGGUAAUACGUAGGGGGCAAGCGUUAUCCGGAUUUACUGGGUGGAAAGGGAGCGUAGACGAGAGUGCAAGUCCGGAGUGAAAGGCGGGGGCUCAACCCCCGGACUGCUCUGGAAACUGUACGGCUGGAGUGCAGGAGAGGUAAGUGGAAUUCCUGGUGUAGCGGUGAAAUGCGUAGAUAUCAGGAGGAACACCAGUGGCGAAGGCGGCUUACUGGACUGUAACUGACGUUGAGGCUCGAAAGCGUGGGGAGCAAACAGGAUUAGAUACCCCUGUAGUC